RNAcentral lists this small RNA (81 nucleotides) under Salmonella enterica subsp. enterica serovar Typhi. RNAcentral's name for it is "StyR-8". Lineage: Bacteria; Pseudomonadati; Pseudomonadota; Gammaproteobacteria; Enterobacterales; Enterobacteriaceae. The record is from RNAcentral.
CCUUUGAGAAUCUCGGGUUUGGCAUUUGGGCCUGGCAAUCGAGAGUUCAAUAGAACUGCGCGAUGACCAGGCUGUAAAGCC